GUGAAAUGCGUAGAGAUCCGGAAGAACACCAAAGGCGAAGGCAGUGUCCUGGUUGGUACCUGACGCUCAGAGGCGACAGCUAGGGGAGCGAACGGGAUUAGAUACCCCGGUAGUCCUAGCCGUAAACGAUGACCACGAGAUGUCCGGGGGAUCGACCCCCUGGGUGUCGAAGCAAACGCAGUCAGUGGUCCGCCUGGGGAGUACGGUCGCAAGAUUAAAACUCAAAGGAAUUGACGGGGACCCGCACAAGCAGCGGAGCGUGUGGUUUAAUUCGAUGCAACGCGAAGCACCUUACCAGGGUUUGACAUGUCUUCGCACCUCUAGGAGAGUAGAGUGCCCGCAAGGGACGGAGACACAGGUGCUGCAUGGCUGUCGUCAGCUCGUGCCGUGAGGUGUUGGGUUAAGUCCCGCAACGAGCGCAACCCUCAUUGCUAGUUGAACUUCUCUAGCGAGACUGCCACGAUCAACGUGGAGGAAGGUGGGGAUGACGUCAAGUCAGCACGGCCCUUACAUCCUGGGCGACACACACGCUACAAUGGCCGAGACAAAGAGUUGCGAACCGGCGACGGGGAGCUAAUCUCGUCAAACUCGGUCUCAGUUCAGAUUGCAGGCUGCAACCCGCCUGCAUGAAGUUGGAGUUGCUAGUAACCGUGAGUCAGCACAUCACGGUGAAUACGUUCCCGGGUCUUGUACACACCGCCCGUCACACCACGAAAGUCGGCAACCCCUGAAGCCGCUGGGCUAACUCGCAAGAGAGGCAAGCGUCGAGGGUGGGGUCGGUGAUUGGGGUGAAGUCGUAACAAGGUAACCGU
RNAcentral lists this ribosomal RNA (812 nucleotides) under uncultured bacterium. RNAcentral's name for it is "bacterial SSU rRNA". It matches the Rfam family "Bacterial small subunit ribosomal RNA", at positions 681 to 1503 of the family's 1533-position model. The record is from RNAcentral.